Molecule: ribosomal RNA, 557 nt
Filed under: uncultured bacterium
Lineage: Bacteria
Description: bacterial SSU rRNA
Rfam family: Bacterial small subunit ribosomal RNA
Source: RNAcentral
ACGGGUGAGUAACACGUGGGAACGUGCCCUUCGGUUCGGAAUAACUCAGGGAAACUUGAGCUAAUACCGGAUACGCCCUUUUGGGGAAAGGUUUACUGCCGAAGGAUCGGCCCGCGUCUGAUUAGCUAGUUGGUGGGGUAACGGCCUACCAAGGCGACGAUCAGUAGCUGGUCUGAGAGGAUGAUCAGCCACACUGGGACUGAGACACGGCCCAGACUCCUACGGGAGGCAGCAGUGGGGAAUAUUGGACAAUGGGCGCAAGCCUGAUCCAGCCAUGCCGCGUGAGUGAUGAAGGCCUUAGGGUUGUAAAGCUCUUUUGUCCGGGACGAUAAUGACGGUACCGGAAGAAUAAGCCCCGGCUAACUUCGUGCCAGCAGCCGCGGUAGUACGAAGGGGGCUAGCGUUGCUCGGAAUCACUGGGCGUAAAGGGCGCGUAGGCGGCUUUUUAAGUCGGGGGUGAAAGCCUGUGGCUCAACCACAGAAUUGCCUUCGAUACUGGAAAGCUUGAGACCGGAAGAGGACAGCGGAACUGCGAGUGUAGAGGUGAAAUUCGUAGA